CAGUCGAGCGGACAGAUGGGAGCUUGCUCCCUGAUGUCAGCGGCGGACGGGUGAGUAACACGUGGGUAACCUGCCUGUAAGACUGGGAUAACUCCGGGAAACCGGGGCUAAUACCGGAUGCUUGAUUGAACCGCAUGGUUCAAUUAUAAAAGGUGGCUUUUACCUACCCCUUACAAAGGACCCCCCGCCCCAUUACCUAUUUGGGGAGGUACCGCCCCACCAGGGCAACAAUGCUUACCCAACCUGAAAGGGUGACCGCCCCCCCGGGAACUAAAACCCGCCCCAAACUCCUACGGAAGGCACCAGUAGGAAAUCUCCCCCAUGGAACAAAAUUCUAACGAACCACCCCCCCGUGAUUAAUAAAGGUUUUCGAAUCUAAAACCUCUGUUGUUAGGAAAAAAAAUUCCCGUUCAAAUAGGGCGGUCCCUUGACGGUCCCUAACAAAAAA
Molecule: ribosomal RNA, 448 nt
Filed under: Bacillus licheniformis
Lineage: Bacteria; Bacillati; Bacillota; Bacilli; Caryophanales; Bacillaceae
Description: partial 16S ribosomal RNA
Rfam family: Bacterial small subunit ribosomal RNA
Source: RNAcentral